This 2755-nucleotide ribosomal RNA is filed under the name Escherichia coli. Its description in RNAcentral is "bacterial LSU rRNA". It matches the Rfam family "Bacterial large subunit ribosomal RNA". The record is from RNAcentral. Lineage: Bacteria; Pseudomonadati; Pseudomonadota; Gammaproteobacteria; Enterobacterales; Enterobacteriaceae.
AAGGACGUGCUAAUCUGCGAUAAGCGUCGGUAAGGUGAUAUGAACCGUUAUAACCGGCGAUUUCCGAAUGGGGGAACCCAGUGUGUUUCGAAACACUAUCAUUAACUGAAUCCAUAGGUUAAUGAGGCGAACCGGGGGAACUGAAACAUCUAAGUACCCCGAGGAAAAGAAAUCAACCGAGAUUCCCCCAGUAGCGGCGAGCGAACGGGGAGCAGCCCAGAGCCUGAAUCAGUGUGUGUGUUAGUGGAAGCGUCUGGAAAGGCGCGCGAUACAGGGUGACAGCCCCGUACACAAAAAUGCACAUACUGUGAGCUCGAUGAGUAGGGCGGGACACGUGGUAUCCUGUCUGAAUAUGGGGGGACCAUCCUCCAAGGCUAAAUACUCCUGACUGACCGAUAGUGAACCAGUACCGUGAGGGAAAGGCGAAAAGAACCCCGGCGAGGGGAGUGAAAAAGAACCUGAAACCGUGUACGUACAAGCAGUGGGAGCACGCUUAGGCGUGUGACUGCGUACCUUUUGUAUAAUGGGUCAGCGACUUAUAUUCUGUAGCAAGGUUAACCGAAUAGGGGAGCCGAAGGGAAACCGAGUCUUAACUGGGCGUUAAGUUGCAGGGUAUAGACCCGAAACCCGGUGAUCUAGCCAUGGGCAGGUUGAAGGUUGGGUAACACUAACUGGAGGACCGAACCGACUAAUGUUGAAAAAUUAGCGGAUGACUUGUGGCUGGGGGUGAAAGGCCAAUCAAACCGGGAGAUAGCUGGUUCUCCCCGAAAGCUAUUUAGGUAGCGCCUCGUGAAUUCAUCUCCGGGGGUAGAGCACUGUUUCGGCAAGGGGGUCAUCCCGACUUACCAACCCGAUGCAAACUGCGAAUACCGGAGAAUGUUAUCACGGGAGACACACGGCGGGUGCUAACGUCCGUCGUGAAGAGGGAAACAACCCAGACCGCCAGCUAAGGUCCCAAAGUCAUGGUUAAGUGGGAAACGAUGUGGGAAGGCCCAGACAGCCAGGAUGUUGGCUUAGAAGCAGCCAUCAUUUAAAGAAAGCGUAAUAGCUCACUGGUCGAGUCGGCCUGCGCGGAAGAUGUAACGGGGCUAAACCAUGCACCGAAGCUGCGGCAGCGACGCUGAUGCGUUGUUGGGUAGGGGAGCGUUCUGUAAGCCUGCGAAGGUGUGCUGUGAGGCAUGCUGGAGGUAUCAGAAGUGCGAAUGCUGACAUAAGUAACGAUAAAGCGGGUGAAAAGCCCGCUCGCCGGAAGACCAAGGGUUCCUGUCCAACGUUAAUCGGGGCAGGGUGAGUCGACCCCUAAGGCGAGGCCGAAAGGCGUAGUCGAUGGGAAACAGGUUAAUAUUCCUGUACUUGGUGUUACUGCGAAGGGGGGACGGAGAAGGCUAUGUUGGCCGGGCGACGGUUGUCCCGGUUUAAGCGUGUAGGCUGGUUUUCCAGGCAAAUCCGGAAAAUCAAGGCUGAGGCGUGAUGACGAGGCACUACGGUGCUGAAGCAACAAAUGCCCUGCUUCCAGGAAAAGCCUCUAAGCAUCAGGUAACAUCAAAUCGUACCCCAAACCGACACAGGUGGUCAGGUAGAGAAUACCAAGGCGCUUGAGAGAACUCGGGUGAAGGAACUAGGCAAAAUGGUGCCGUAACUUCGGGAGAAGGCACGCUGAUAUGUAGGUGAAGUCCCUCGCGGAUGGAGCUGAAAUCAGUCGAAGAUACCAGCUGGCUGCAACUGUUUAUUAAAAACACAGCACUGUGCAAACACGAAAGUGGACGUAUACGGUGUGACGCCUGCCCGGUGCCGGAAGGUUAAUUGAUGGGGUCAGCGCAAGCGAAGCUCUUGAUCGAAGCCCCGGUAAACGGCGGCCGUAACUAUAACGGUCCUAAGGUAGCGAAAUUCCUUGUCGGGUAAGUUCCGACCUGCACGAAUGGCGUAAUGAUGGCCAGGCUGUCUCCACCCGAGACUCAGUGAAAUUGAACUCGCUGUGAAGAUGCAGUGUACCCGCGGCAAGACGGAAAGACCCCGUGAACCUUUACUAUAGCUUGACACUGAACAUUGAGCCUUGAUGUGUAGGAUAGGUGGGAGGCUUUGAAGUGUGGACGCCAGUCUGCAUGGAGCCGACCUUGAAAUACCACCCUUUAAUGUUUGAUGUUCUAACGUUGACCCGUGAUCCGGGUUGCGGACAGUGUCUGGUGGGUAGUUUGACUGGGGCGGUCUCCUCCUAAAGAGUAACGGAGGAGCACGAAGGUUGGCUAAUCCUGGUCGGACAUCAGGAGGUUAGUGCAAUGGCAUAAGCCAGCUUGACUGCGAGCGUGACGGCGCGAGCAGGUGCGAAAGCAGGUCAUAGUGAUCCGGUGGUUCUGAAUGGAAGGGCCAUCGCUCAACGGAUAAAAGGUACUCCGGGGAUAACAGGCUGAUACCGCCCAAGAGUUCAUAUCGACGGCGGUGUUUGGCACCUCGAUGUCGGCUCAUCACAUCCUGGGGCUGAAGUAGGUCCCAAGGGUAUGGCUGUUCGCCAUUUAAAGUGGUACGCGAGCUGGGUUUAGAACGUCGUGAGACAGUUCGGUCCCUAUCUGCCGUGGGCGCUGGAGCACUGAGGGGGGCUGCUCCUAGUACGAGAGGACCGGAGUGGACGCAUCACUGGUGUUCGGGUUGUCAUGCCAAUGGCACUGCCCGGUCGCUAAAUGCGGAAGAGAUAAGUGCUGACAGCAGCUAAGCACGAAACUUGCCCCGAGAUGAGUUCUCCCUGACUCCUUGAGAGUCC